AACGAACGCUGGCGGCAUGCCUAACACAUGCAAGUCGAACGGGAUCCUAGCUUGCUAGGUGAGAGUGGCGGACGGGUGAGUAACACGUGGGAAUCUGCCUUUUGGUUCGGGAUAACCGCGGGAAACUGCGGCUAAUACCGAAUGCCCUCGAGAGAGGAAAGAUUUAUCGCCAGAAGAGGAGCCCGCGUCCGAUUAGGUAGUUGGUGGGGUAAAGGCCUACCAAGCCGACGAUCGGUAGCUGGUCUGAGAGGAUGAUCAGCCACACUGGGACUGAGAUACGGCCCAGACUCCUACGGGAGGCAGCAGUGGGGAAUAUUGGACAAUGGGGGCAACCCUGAUCCAGCAAUGCCGCGUGAGUGAUGAAGGCCUUAGGGUUGUAAAGCUCUUUUGCCAGGGAAGAUGAUGACUGUACCUGGAGAAUAAGCUCCGGCUAACUCCGUGCCAGCAGCCGCGGUAAU
Molecule: ribosomal RNA, 458 nt
Filed under: uncultured bacterium
Lineage: Bacteria
Description: bacterial SSU rRNA
Rfam family: Bacterial small subunit ribosomal RNA
Source: RNAcentral